UGUACUACUCAGAGUUUGAUCCUGGCUCAGGACGAACGCUGGCGGCGUGCUUAACACAUGCAAGUCGAACGGUGAAAGAGGAGCUUGCUCCUCUGGAUCAGUGGCGAACGGGUGAGUAACACGUGAGUAACCUGCCCUUGACUCUGGGAUAACCUCGGGAAACCGAAGCUAAUACCGGAUACGACCCUCGGAGGCAUCUCCAGAGGGUGGAAAGAACUUUGGUCAAGGAUGGACUCGCGGCCUAUCAGGUAGUUGGUGAGGUAACGGCUCACCAAGCCGACGACGGGUAGCCGGCCUGAGAGGGUGACCGGCCACACUGGGACUGAGACACGGCCCAGACUCCUACGGGAGGCAGCAGUGGGGAAUAUUGCACAAUGGGCGCAAGCCUGAUGCAGCAACGCCGCGUGAGGGACGACGGCCUUCGGGUUGUAAAGCCCGUUUACGUAGGGAAGAAGCGAAAGAUGACGGUACCUGCAGAAAAAGCACCGGCUAACUACGUGCCAGC
Molecule: ribosomal RNA, 505 nt
Filed under: uncultured Cryocola sp.
Lineage: Bacteria; Bacillati; Actinomycetota; Actinomycetes; Micrococcales; Microbacteriaceae
Description: bacterial SSU rRNA
Rfam family: Bacterial small subunit ribosomal RNA
Source: RNAcentral